GACGAACGCUGACGGCGUGCUUAACACAUGCAAGUCGAACGGAAAGGCCCUGCUUUUGUGGGGUGCUCGAGUGGCGAACGGGUGAGUAACACGUGAGUAACCUGCCCUUGACUUUGGGAUAACUUCAGGAAACUGGGGCUAAUACCGGAUAGGAGCUCCUGCUGCAUAGUGGGGGUUGGAAAGUUUCGGCGGUUGGGGAUGGACUCGCGGCUUAUCAGCCUGUUGGUGGGGUAGUGGCUUACCAAGGCUUUGACGGGUAGCCGGCCUGAGAGGGUGACCGGCCACAUUGGGACUGAGAUACGGCCCAGACUCCUACGGGAGGCAGCAGUGGGGAAUAUUGCACAAUGGGCGGAAGCCUGAUGCAGCAACGCCGCGUGCGGGAUGACGGCCUUCGGGUUGUAAACCGCUUUCGCCUGUGACGAAGCGUGAGUGACGGUAAUGGGUAAAGAAGCACCGGCUAACUACGUG
RNAcentral lists this ribosomal RNA (468 nucleotides) under uncultured bacterium. RNAcentral describes it as "partial 16S ribosomal RNA". It matches the Rfam family "Bacterial small subunit ribosomal RNA", at positions 28 to 507 of the family's 1533-position model. The record is from RNAcentral.